UUCCCGCGGGGCCCCCUCCACAGAUCCGCAUCCUCAAGAGGCCCACCAGCAACGGUGUGGUCAGCAGCCCCAACUCCACCAGCAGGCCCACCCUUUUGGUAUUCUGGGACUUGAAGAAAAAAUCUGCGUACCUUCUUUCUAGCUCUUCAUAAUUUUGAAGAGAUACCUGUUCUUUUUGUUGUUUCUCCUCUAAGUCUUCACCUUUCCAGGGUGGAAAAAUAGUCAUAUGAGUCAACCGUUAACCGCAGAGUUUGGAGAGGAGUGGGAGGGAAGAAUUGGGGGGCGGGGGAUGUGUCCCUCUGCUGAGCUCUUGAUUCCAGUUCUUUACUUUGGCCUAACACU
RNAcentral lists this long non-coding RNA (342 nucleotides) under Homo sapiens (human). RNAcentral's name for it is "HSALNT0002232". Lineage: Eukaryota; Metazoa; Chordata; Mammalia; Primates; Hominidae. The record is from RNAcentral.